ACCUGACUGGCUCAGUCAGUAAAGCAUGUGACUCUUGAUCUUGCGGUCAUGAGUUCAAGCCCUAUGUUGGGUG
RNAcentral lists this transfer RNA (73 nucleotides) under Felis catus (domestic cat). It matches the Rfam family "tRNA". From Rfam's summary of the family: Transfer RNA (tRNA) molecules are approximately 80 nucleotides in length. Their secondary structure includes four short double-helical elements and three loops (D, anti-codon, and T loops). Further hydrogen bonds mediate the characteristic L-shaped molecular structure. tRNAs have two regions of fundamental functional importance: the anti-codon, which is responsible for specific mRNA codon recognition, and the 3' end, to which the tRNAs corresponding amino acid is attached (by aminoacyl-tRNA synthetases). tRNAs cope with the degeneracy of the genetic code in two manners: having more than one tRNA (with a specific anti-codon) for a particular amino acid; and 'wobble' base-pairing, i.e. permitting non-standard base-pairing at the 3rd anti-codon position. RNAcentral also lists the same sequence under 2 other names. Lineage: Eukaryota; Metazoa; Chordata; Mammalia; Carnivora; Felidae. The record is from Rfam by way of RNAcentral.